This 218-nucleotide unclassified non-coding RNA is filed under the name uncultured fungus. Its description in RNAcentral is "partial contains 18S rRNA, ITS1, 5.8S rRNA, ITS2 and 28S rRNA". Lineage: Eukaryota; Fungi. The record is from RNAcentral.
AAGGAUCAUUAAUGAUUGCGAAUGGUCACCUUCAGUGCUGGCUCGCAAGAGCAAGUGCACGUUGGUGGCUUUCAUCCAAUUCCACACCCUGUGAACCUUUGGCCUCUUGCUAGCCUCGGCUGGCAGAGGAUUUUUAUACACACACUCGAAUGUAAUGAAAACUAUUGUCGUGCGCAAGCACUAAUGUACAACUUUCAACAACGGAUCUCUUGGCUCUC